UGUAUUUUGGAUAUAGAAAAGCAACAAGCAUCUUUCUGAUUUUUGAUAAAUUAAUAUUUUUAUCGGAUCUACCUGUUCAAAUAUUUUUGGAACAUCCUCAGACCUAAUGAAGGACAUCUACCUGUUCUCAUGUGCGUUAAAUUCAUUUCGGAGUGUCAUAGUUUUGUUUCUUUUAACGCCCUUUUUGUGGACCCAAGAAUAUGAAGGCAACUCCUUUUGUUCAUUAUGCCAGGAACUCAGUGUAUGAUGUUCUGUAUUUCAAAUUUGAUGGACCAUAUCCUUACUAGUAGUCCACUGAUAAGGUCUAGAGGGGCUUUCUAGAUGUUGGCUUUUCAUCAAUCUAAAAAAGAAGCAAAUCAUGUAAUCAAGAUAAGUCUGGCAGUUGACAUUGAUUUGUUUUUGCAAACUUUUUAAUCCGCCGAUUCAUGAUUGCAAUGUCCUUCAUAAUUCAUUGGUUUCCUUUUAAACUCUAUGCACUGGUACAAUUUAUUGAAGUUAGUUGAUCACUUCAAAAAUCGGGGCCUUUACCGCUCUCUUUUCUUGAGGGGAAGAAUCCUUGCACAAAUUUUCUCCUGAAGUUAGAAUAAAGGACCCAACCAUUAGACAUGCUGUUCCACUCCUGCCUCCAAUCACCCUUUUUCAUGGAACUGCAGCUUGUUCUAUACCAUCAACUUCCAGGUCAGAAUUCGAUUUCCUUGUUUUCAACAUGAAUGCCACAUCCUUAUUCCAAAAUGAGGAUAUAUGAAGGAUUCAUGGCUGAAGUACACAAAAAUUGAUAUAAUGUAUAUUUAUCAUUCAUAGGACGAUGGAUGUUUACAAUAUGGUUUUUGUGAUAUAAUGACGAUAUAAUGUAUAUAAUAUGCACACCAAUCCGUCUUGGUAUCAACAUGUCCAGGAAAUAGGAAUAGCAGUUUUUAGGCAAAGAGAUCUAUUUUUUUGGCUAAUGAAUAAUUUAUUUUUACAA
Molecule: non-coding RNA, 964 nt
Organism: Jatropha curcas
Lineage: Eukaryota; Viridiplantae; Streptophyta; Magnoliopsida; Malpighiales; Euphorbiaceae
Source: RefSeq, a predicted model, not a curated record